This 253-nucleotide ribosomal RNA is filed under the name uncultured bacterium. RNAcentral's name for it is "partial 16S ribosomal RNA". It matches the Rfam family "Bacterial small subunit ribosomal RNA", at positions 524 to 776 of the family's 1533-position model. The record is from RNAcentral.
UACGUAGGGAGCAAGCGUUGUCCGGAUUUACUGGGUGUAAAGGGUGCGUAGGCGGCCCUGCAAGUCAGAAGUGAAAUCCAUGGGCUUAACCCGUGAACUGCUUUUGAAACUGUAGGGCUUGAGUGAAGUAGAGGCAGGCGGAAUUCCCGGUGUAGCGGUGAAAUGCGUAGAGAUCGGGAGGAACACCAGUGGCGAAGGCGGCCUGCUGGGCUUUAACUGACGCUGAAGCACGAAAGCAUGGGUAGCAAACAGG